This 65-nucleotide transfer RNA is filed under the name Psyllaephagus sp. RNAcentral describes it as "tRNA-Thr". The record is from RNAcentral. Lineage: Eukaryota; Metazoa; Arthropoda; Insecta; Hymenoptera; Encyrtidae.
UAGUUAUUAAUUUAAUUAAAAUAUUAAUCUUGUAAAUUAAAAAUGAUUUUUUCAAUCAUAACUAA